This 1967-nucleotide long non-coding RNA is filed under the name Delphinapterus leucas (beluga whale). RNAcentral's name for it is "lncRNA (ENSDLEG00000013419.1)". The record is from RNAcentral. Lineage: Eukaryota; Metazoa; Chordata; Mammalia; Artiodactyla; Monodontidae.
CGGGAGGCCGCUUCACACAGGCUGCCCGCGGGAUGCAGAGGGCGGGCCCCGGCGGCCAGGAUGGGGGGCAGUCCCUGCGGGUUCUAGGGGGCUCCUGGGGGCCAUGGCUGGGGGGCCCUCCGCAGGAGCAAGAAAAAGCCUCUUUAAAAGGGCAGGGUUGUCCCCUCUGAUUCAGCUGUCCAGGCAGGGUGGGGUGGGGGAAGGGCGGCGGGUUCACCUCUCCCCCCUAAACGUCAGGGCGCUAAGAAGGCCUGGCCGCGCGGCUGCCGAAUUCCUGCCGGGGUCCGCCGGUGGGGGACGAGGGUGAGGGAAGCAGGCAGCCCCCUUCCCCGCGCCUCUCACCCCGCGCAGCUCCACCGGCGGCCCCCGGCUCCGCAUCCCGGGCCACGAUCGCCGGGCGGGCGGGGCUGGCGGAGCCCCCCCCCCCCCAGGACGGGGUGGCGCGCCCCUCGGCCUCCUCACGCGCGGGGCGGCCGGGCGGCCCCCAUCCUCAGCAUCGGGCUCCCGGUCGGCCCCAGCCCCUGCCCCCGCCCGCGCCGCUUCCCGGGGCCGCAGGCAGUGCCUGAGUGACGUGCACGCUGCCGCCGUGCCGCGGUGCCGCCUGGGAGUUGUAGUCUCCGGCAGCGCGACUUCCUGGUCGGUCCCCAGUCCCCCAGCCUCCAGAGCCCGGCUGCGGGCCUCGGGCCGAAGUGAGGAGUGCGCGUGGGCGAAGGAAUUCUCCCGGGGAGAUAAGCCUGGCCUCAGGCCCUCCCUGGGACGCCGUAGGCCGGACGCCUGGAGGAGGAGAGGAGGAGAGGGCCGAGCGCUCCUCACAGGCCCUGCGGGGGCCGCGGCCCAAGGGUCCUUCUGCUCAGGAAAUGAAUCUGAGGCCAGGCAACAUCUUGGUGAUGCUCCAGCCUUUCCAGCUGACUUGGUGUAGAGGACCUGUGGGAUGUGCUGAGGAGGAUUGAGAGAGAGGUGAGGACAGCAGGAGUUAGGGAGGGGGAAGGGGGGCAGAAGCACUCUCUCAGGCCCGAAACCAGAUUCUCUGAAUAGGUGUGGGUGAGGAAGGCAUUUUAUGACGUCUAGAAACACAGGGGGAAAUGCAGGAAGGGAAUGAUGUCCAGUGAGUUUAGGACUAAGUGAUUCAGAGGUGGCGCGAGCAUCCCAGCCCUCUUUUGCCUCUCUUGAUUAACUCGGGAGGCUCAUUCAAUCAUAAAUAAUUGCAUCUAUUCACCUUUAUUAAUUCCCUCCCCCAGACUUCAUGUAUGACAAAUUCAUUCUCUCACUGGAAAAAUAUUUCCUGAGCACAAUCAAUGUAUUGGGCAUAUAGCAGCUGAGCAGUCAGUCUCUGCCUUCACACAGCUCCAAAUCUGGGAGAGCAAGCUCUCACAAGAGUGAAUAUUUCACAAAAUGGUUUAAAGACUCAAACAUAAGACAUGAUACCAUAAAACUCCCAGAAGAGAGCAUAGGCAAAACAUUCUCUGACAUAAAUGUAAUGUCCAUCAACAGAUGAAUGGAUAAAGAAGAUGUGGUACAUAUAUACAAUGGAAUAUUACUCAGCCAUAAAAAAGAAUGGAAUAAUGGCAUUUGCAGCAACCUGGAUGCAACACAACUAGAGAUCAUCAUACUAAGUGAAGUAUGUCAGAAAGAGAAAGACAAAUACCAUAUGACAUCACUUCUGUGUGGAAUCUAAAAUAUGGCACAAAGGAACCUAUCUGUUGAUCCAGAACAGAAGCAGACUCAUAGACAUAGAGAACAGACUUGUGGUUGCCAAGGGGGAUGGGGGGAGGGAGAGGGAGGGACUGGGAGUUUGGGGUUGGCAGGUGCAAACUAUUACCUUUAGAAUGGAUAAACAACAAGGUCCUACUGUAUAGCACAGGGAACUCAAUUCAAUAUCCUGUGAUAAACCAUAAUGGAAAAGAAUGUAGAAAAGAAUGUAUAUAAGUGUAUAACUGAGUCACUUUGCUGUACAGCAGAGAUUGGCC